AAAGGGCAUGAAGUAUUGUGAAUCUUUCUAGCGUCGUUUUAGCAAACUGCAUUGCCCAUUGGAUUUGUGAUCUAAAUGCAGAUACUCUAUAUUUAACUUCUACUUGAUUUAGCUGAUAGUAUGAACAAGAACGAGGGGCUUUUAAAAUCAGGUUCAAAUGGUAAUUAACUAUUGGGGAUUAAGUAGGCGUUGUUAAGGUGACAAUUUUGAUCUAUACUUCAGUAAAGGAUUUUUUUUAAUAUCCUGAUCACAGAAUUUUAAAGACUGAUUGCACCUUUUUGAUUUUCCAUAGCAAUGACAUUUGAUAAUCGAUUUCAUUCAAUUGUAUAUGACUUUAAUUUUGUCCUUUUAAUUUUUUCCACUCUGGCACUGUCAUAUUGUUCAAAUUCAACUGGUUGUUCCGGUGUCCAGUGACACCAAUAUGAGAAAAUAAUAAAAUAAUUUAGCUUUU
Molecule: non-coding RNA, 451 nt
Organism: Theobroma umbraticum
Lineage: Eukaryota; Viridiplantae; Streptophyta; Magnoliopsida; Malvales; Malvaceae
Source: RefSeq, a predicted model, not a curated record